Molecule: long non-coding RNA, 665 nt
Organism: Corticium candelabrum
Lineage: Eukaryota; Metazoa; Porifera; Homoscleromorpha; Homosclerophorida; Plakinidae
Exons: 2
Source: RefSeq, a predicted model, not a curated record
UACUGCUUUCCAAGCCUCCAGCCGAAACUUCAAGCAAUCGAUGUAUUCGCUCUACUCUAGAUCUUCUGCAUCUAAUUACCCAUGUUCUACAUGUGAACGCAAGCUGAGUGGAGUGGGGUUAUCAUAACUCUUCCCGAGUUAUCCUAACCCGAAUUAACCGUGUGUGUGAAAGCGCUCACUGAUGAGAUACCUAAAUGGGUUCCUUGACGUUCUACAUAGGGUGUUGAUGGCCACGCCCUCGUAUUCAUGACUCUUUAGCGCGCUCUAUGCAGUAGACUACAAGUUUGCAAAUCUAGAGGUACAAAUGAUGCUCAACAAGGUUUUUGUCUAAACUUUUAAAUUUCAGAGUGCUUGUGUGAUGUGGCACUAUUGAAGAAAUGUUAAAGACUGUUCUUUCAUGUGUAUUAAAGUCAACCAUAUCAGACUCUUUUUCGGGCAUCACAUGCAUUGUUGUACUAAAAAUGCGCUGCUCAUGUAUGAUGUACAUGUUCAAACGCUGUUUUUUCUAACUAGGGAGACAGAGCUCAAGGUCGACUCUAGUUUGUAGUCUAUUGUACCAAGCUAAGCUUAUGUAGUUUGUCUGUGUGUAGUUUAUGUCUGCCCCUAAGUGGGAACUGUACCGUCUUUGGGUGCGAGAGAAAAUAUAUUAUUGUUAUUAAUUAUUA